AAAUGUUUACAUUAGUAAUGUAUUAGAUAUGUAAUGUAUUAUUUCAUCAUUAUUAUGAUGGUAAGUAUAUAAAGAAACUAUUACGGAUAAAUACAGCUAUAUAUUAAAGACGUAUAAGAUAAAGUGUUCUUGGAAAAAUCCAUUUUUUAAACGAAGCGAAUUGAAAUAUCUUAGUAGCUUCAGGAAUAAAAAUCAAAUGAGAUUCCAUAAUUAGCUAUAACUGUUAUGGAAAAGCCUUUAAAGUAAAACGGAAAUAAUCUGUUUGAAUCUAGGGAAACCUUUCUCUAAGGCUAAAUAUGAUAUAUAAGCGAUAGCGAAGCAGUACCGUGAGGGAAAUUUUUGAAAUAGUAGUUUUAUAAGCAGCUCAAGUUUAAUUUAAAAGUAUAAUGAGAGCGUACCUUUUGCAUAAUGGGUCAGCAAGUUAAUGUUAGAUGCGAGACGGGUUCACAAAAGAUUAAGGGGUCAAACUUACUUACUUUUACUUUUACGAUAAAAAGGACAGUUUUAGGCUUAGCCGGUUUUUGGCUUAGCAGCCUUUUUGGAUGUAAAGAUAAGAGUAAACUGAGAAUGAUUACCUAAAUGAGUAAGGUAAAAUAAUAUAAUUUUUACUUAAAUGAGUAAUAUUAUCGCCUUGUCCUAGAUAAACCAAUUAUUAAUUAAUGAUUAAGUAUCUAAUGUUAGACCCGAAGCCUAGUGAUCUUACCAUGAUCAGGGUUAUAAAGGCCCGAACGGGUUAUCGUUGUAAAGAUAUCCGAUGAAUUGUGGUAAGUUAGUGAAAGACAAAACUGACUAGGAUAGCUGGUUUUCUGCGAAACCUAUAUAAGUAGGUAAUGUAAAUAACAUCAUAGCAGGUACAGAACUGUGAUCUCGGACAAAUUAUGUUGUUUUCUUAACGAUAGCAACAUGGUUUUGUAUACAUCGGGGAAUCGUGAAGAUUUUAUCGGCGAGAAUUUGCUCUCGGAAGGGCAAUGAUGGAUUUUGCAUAAUCGGACAUAGUACGAUAAGGUUGUAUGUCUAAAGGGAAACAGCCCAGAACAAGAGUUAAAGGUUCCAAAAUUAUUGUUAAGUGAAAAUAAGGAAGUUUUCUUCAAAUACAACCAGGAAAUAGGCUUAGAAGCGGCCAUUUUUUGAAGACCUCGUAACAGAGCACUGGUUUAACAUUAAAAGUUGAAAGCACCGAAAAUUUAACGGAUCUAAAACAAUAUACCGAAACCUUGUCUAUAAAUAAAUAUAUUAAGACGGAUUUAUUUUUUUUUCAAGAAAAAGGGAAUAAAAAUUAUUUUUAUCUUAAGUAUUUUUAUUUAUGGGGUAGCAGAACGUUGGGCAUGUCUUAGAUUUAAUAUUUUUAAUAUUGAGUAGGUUCGGCAGAUAAAAAGAGAUCGCUGUACAAAAACAAAUAGGUCCUACACUUAUUAAGUAAAACAAGUAGGUUGUAGGUUCAACGCUUAUUUGUUCGAGGCUGAUAGAUACACUGUCGAAUAAGAUGACCCCAAGUGAGAAUGCUGGCAUGAGUAACGAAAAAGGGAUAGCCCCUCGCCUUAAGCUUAUGGUAUUUAAAUAAAGUAACGGCCUCUAAGUUUAUAAUUGUCCUAAAGGAUUAAACGAUGAGAAAAAUCUUAAGUCUUGAUAGAGGUCUAACAACAUUGUGAUAUUUUGAGUACACAAUGUUCUGGAAAAGGACCUUAAAAUGUAAUAGUACGUCAUGUAAUGUAAUGUACUGGUCGCUUAAAAAGCGUAUAUAAACUUUACAUUUGACUAACCGUACCUAGAUACUACCACAAGUAAGCAAGUAGAGUAUACAAAGGCGUUUGAGUUAACAAUCAUUAAGGAACUCGGCAAAAUGACACCGUAACUUAGGGAUAAGGUGUGCCAUUCUUCUUAAGUAAUAUUAAGUUAAGGAUAGGAGGCAUAGAGUGGUGUUGUACGACUGUUUAAUUAAAACAAAGCACUUUGCAUAAGAUGACAAAUCAAAGUAUUGAGUGUGAAUUCUGCCCAAUGUUGGCUGGUUAACGAAGAUUCUUAGCCGACUAAUAUAAGCUAGGUUUUGAAGGAAACCCCAAUCAAUGGCGGCCUUACCGAUGAGGGUCCUAAGGUAGCGGAAUACCUUGGCCGUUAAAUGCGGUCUUGCAUGAAUGAUUUAACGAUACAACAGCUGUCUCAAUGAUUGGCUCAGUGAAAUUGGAAUAACUGUGCAGAUACAGUUUACCUCUAGUUAGACGAGAAGACCCUAUGCAGCUUUACUGUUUGUAGUUAUUGGAUACAAUGGAACAAGUUGUAGCGUAUAAGGUAGUUGAUAAGAUACAAUUGAAACACCUUUACUUAGUUUAUUGUAUAAGCAAUGCAACUGCCGAGAAGAAGAAGGAAGAUUUUUGUUUGCCUUUUGUUAAUAGGUGUUUGUGUAGUAUUGGUAAAGAUCACAUGAUCACUUGUGUGGUCUUAGUAUAGAUGACUAUGAUAAGCUUUCCACCCGAAGUACCAGUAUCAGACGCAUAUAUACGUGCUUAUACCACAAACACUGAUUUGAUAACCUAGUAAUGGUCAAGCUACAAUUAAGGACCAAUGGUUAUGAGUCGGGUAGAGAAGUUGCAAAGCUAAUCCUAUAAAAGAUAUAUAUAAAAAUAUAUAUGUUUGGAAACAUUGGCUAUUAGACAGUUUAUGCGGGGCACAGAUCCCACAAAAAGUACCUGGGUGUAUCCAAAGUUAAUUUUGUAAAUUUAUUGGCAAUAAUAAUUUGCCGAUAGAUAAAUAUAUUAUAUAGCAAAAGCUUUUGCUUUUAGCCUGUAUAAUGUAUUUUUAUUUUAAUCUGUAAUGUAUUGCUUUCAAUAUAUUCAGUUAUUUAUCUAUUAAGUUAGAUUUAUUUAUUUUUUUUAAGUAAGAUUUUAACUAUAUGGAAAAUAGAUGUAAAUAAAACACUAAAAGUAGUGUAAAAAACUACAAAAAGGGUAGUGUUUUAGUUUAUUUUCUUAAUAUGCUUUUGAUAUUAAGGAAAUGAUUAUUAUUUUACUUUAAAAGUUUAAUGGCUUAAUCUUGCUUUACUGUUUGACUUACACGUCUAUCAGUUGCGUAAGCAGGGCAUAUGAUCACAAGAUGCAUAAAGGAAAGGUCUUGGAUUUUUGAAAAAGCUACGCUAGGGAUAACAGGCUAAUUGCGCCAGAGAGUACAAAUUGAGUGCGCAGUUUGGCACCUCGAUGUCGGCUUAGCUCAUCCACAUGAAUGCAGGAAUCAUGAAGGGUACGACUGUUCGUCGAUUAAAGAGCUACACGAGCUGGGUUAAAUACGUCGUGAGACAGUAUGGUUUCUAUCUUCUAGAGGAAAUUAGAGUAAAAUAAGGAUAGCCCCUUCGUACGAAAGGAGUUGGGUAUGGUAACCUCUGGUUUACCUGUUGUUUAUGUAUCCAAUAUUAUGUUAUAGCCGCUUUGCAAUACAAAGUAGGUUAAGGAUAUUUACAGUUACUCAUGUAUAUAUAUAUAUCAUAGGCACGGCAGGAAACCCACGUUAGCUAUAGAUAAGUGCUGAAUGCAUAUAGGCGCGAAGCUUAGCUUAAGAUACUCUUAAAUAUACGUGGUAUAAUACCACGAGUACUAGUGUAAGCGUGUGUGCGUUAUACAUUAAUACUGUAUAGGCUUUUGCUUUAAGGAUUUUGAUGUCUUCAGGUAAAAAGUACUAAUU
This 3669-nucleotide ribosomal RNA is filed under the name Cladosporium sp. RNAcentral's name for it is "large subunit ribosomal RNA". It matches the Rfam family "Bacterial large subunit ribosomal RNA". Lineage: Eukaryota; Fungi; Ascomycota; Dothideomycetes; Cladosporiales; Cladosporiaceae. The record is from RNAcentral.